This 100-nucleotide transfer RNA is filed under the name Planctomycetota bacterium. RNAcentral's name for it is "tRNA-Sec". It matches the Rfam family "Selenocysteine transfer RNA". Lineage: Bacteria; Pseudomonadati; Planctomycetota. The record is from RNAcentral.
GGAAGUGCGUCCAGGGCUGGUGCCCGGCACGGUCUUCAAAACCGCUGGGCCGUCUGUCAAGCAGACGGCUGGUGGGUUCGAUUCCCAUGCACUUCCGCCA